GGAAUAUAAGAACUCGGCUCUUAAUUUUUCACUGAAAUGCUAAGAGUCGGCUCUUAAAUAAGAGAUUUAAGAGCCGACUCUUAACUUUUCCAGUUAAAAGUUAAGAGUCGGGUUCUUAUAUUCU
This is a non-coding RNA of Brassica napus (rape), 124 nucleotides long. Lineage: Eukaryota; Viridiplantae; Streptophyta; Magnoliopsida; Brassicales; Brassicaceae. The record is from Rfam.